AGAUUGAACGCUAGCGGGAUGCUUUACACAUGCAAGUCGAACGGCAGCGCGGACUUCGGUCUGGCGGCGAGUGGCGAACGGGUGAGUAAUAUAUCGGAACGUGCCCAGUAGCGGGGGAUAACUACGCGAAAGCGUGGCUAAUACCGCAUACGCCCUACGGGGGAAAGGGGGGAUCGCAAGACCUCUCACUAUUGGAGCGGCCGAUAUCAGAUUAGCUAGUUGGUGAGGUAAAGGCUCACCAAAGGCGACGAUCUGUAGCUGGUUUGAGAGGACGACCAGCCACACUGGGACUGAGACACGGCCCAGACUCUACGGGAGCAGCAGUGGGGAAUUUUGGACAAUGGGGGAAACCUGAUCCAGCCAUCCCGCGUGUGCGAUGAAGGCCUCGGUUGUAAGAC
RNAcentral lists this ribosomal RNA (398 nucleotides) under uncultured soil bacterium. Its description in RNAcentral is "bacterial SSU rRNA". It matches the Rfam family "Bacterial small subunit ribosomal RNA", at positions 26 to 431 of the family's 1533-position model. The record is from RNAcentral.